This 253-nucleotide ribosomal RNA is filed under the name uncultured Rikenellaceae bacterium. Its description in RNAcentral is "partial 16S ribosomal RNA". It matches the Rfam family "Bacterial small subunit ribosomal RNA", at positions 524 to 776 of the family's 1533-position model. Lineage: Bacteria; Pseudomonadati; Bacteroidota; Bacteroidia; Bacteroidales; Rikenellaceae. The record is from RNAcentral.
UACGGAGGAUGCGAGCGUUAUCCGGAUUUAUUGGGUUUAAAGGGUGCGUAGGCGGUCGGAUAAGUUAGAGGUGAAAUCCCGAGGCUCAACUUCGGAAUUGCCUCUGAUACUGUUCGGCUAGAGAGUAGUUGCGGUAGGCGGAAUGUAUGGUGUAGCGGUGAAAUGCGUAGAGAUUAGGAAGAACACCAGUGGCGAAGGCGACUUACUGGACUGUAACUGACGCUGAGGCAUGAGAGCAUGGGGAGCAAACAGG